This 906-nucleotide long non-coding RNA is filed under the name Homo sapiens (human). RNAcentral's name for it is "HSALNT0368054". The record is from RNAcentral. Lineage: Eukaryota; Metazoa; Chordata; Mammalia; Primates; Hominidae.
UCCCUGGCGGCCUCAGCCGGCAUCGAAUCACCGCGGUUCCCAGAGGGCGUGAGGGGCUGGCGUGGACACACCGGGAAUGGACCGUACCCUUUUUCAAAAGGAACUCAUGAUGUAUACAAAUAGAAUGCUCUUCCCCUUCUUUGCUGGCCAAUUCCUACUCAUCUGUUAAAACCAAGCUUAGAGAUUACCUCUUUGAUGACAUCUCUACCAAGUCUGAUUGAGAACAUCUCUGUGAGCACAUAGUAUUCUAACAUCUCUAUCAUCAUACCAUGAAAUCAUCAGGCUAUCAGUUCUUUGAAUGAUGACCACAUGCCUAUCUUUUGGACACCAUCACCAACAGGGAAGAUGUGUGAAGGGCCCAUGGGUGCAGCAAGAGGAGUGAUCCCAUUCCUGCAUGCCUCAUUUGGCAUGACUUAAGACAAACAUUGAGGGAGCAUUGCAUCACUACAUCAGUCAGAAGCAAAAGGACAUCAGUUGGAAAGGGCCCUUUGGCACUGUGUAGCAACAAUCCCAAAAUCAUUGGACUACCCAGGGAGGACUGCCUGACACCUAUCAUGGAAUCUUCUGCCGGGGUGGGGUAACUACCCUGGGUGCGAGUGAUGGGGCAGAAAGGAGAUGGCAUGCAGUCAUACACAGAAUAAAAGAUGUCUGCUACCACUCUGUAGUCUUCAGGUGCUGUGGACCACCAGCAGUUCCACAGUCAGAACACUGACAAAGGAAGGCCAGCACAAGGUCCCCAACACAUGGCUCAUGACCAAGGGUUGGUAGAGGACUGUCGAUAGCCCAGAGACCUGAACUCAUCUUGUGUUUGACCCCAAAUAAGCAUGUCAACACUAUUCUGGAGACCCAAUUUCACACUAUUUUAUGAAAGAACUGUGCUAGCCAGCAAGAGUGACUGACUGACUU